CUAACGAAGAGAUGGGUCGGGGGCUGAGACAGAGACACCCCUUGAGGUAGGCAGGCAGAAGGCACCAUCGUGCCAGGACGGGUGUAUGAGGAACAGGUUGCCCAGGGAGGCUGUGGAUGCCCCAUCCCUGCAGGCAUUCAAGGCCAGGCUGGAUGUGGCUCUGGGCAGCCUGGGCUGCUGGUUGGUGACCCUGCACAUGGCAGGGGGUUGGAACUCAAUGAGCACUGUGGGCCUUUUCAACCCAGGCCAUUCCAGGAUUCUAUGCUCAGCCACACUGUAAGGACAGGUGUACCCCACACCCAUGCGGGGCCACGGCUGUGCCGCUCUGCUCUCAUUACAAAGGGCUCUGCCACGCCACGGGAGGGAUUUGGGGCCGGUGCAGCAACAAAGGCGCUGAGAUGUGGCCAGAAUAUCUUAGUCCAGAAGCUUGGAGCUCCUCACAGCCUUGCAGCUCCUCACAGCCUGGAGAAGAAAGACAAAGAGCUGGACUGAACUGGAGUCAGCACACAACUCUGAUGACUCUUCAUACCUACAUAUUCUACAAAGUCACUCUAAAGAGAUGUGGCUGAACUCAACAAAGUCCUCAUAAUGGGACGAAGUGACACUGCAGCAG
RNAcentral lists this long non-coding RNA (613 nucleotides) under Gallus gallus (chicken). RNAcentral's name for it is "lncRNA (ENSGALG00010028349.1)". Lineage: Eukaryota; Metazoa; Chordata; Aves; Galliformes; Phasianidae. The record is from RNAcentral.